Molecule: long non-coding RNA, 1818 nt
Organism: Scleropages formosus (Asian bonytongue)
Lineage: Eukaryota; Metazoa; Chordata; Actinopteri; Osteoglossiformes; Osteoglossidae
Source: Ensembl
GCUGGUUCGUCAUAAUCGGAAAGCCUAGGGAGACGCUGCAGCGGGUCGGGCUGUGCUGUAAGCGGUCAGUCGGACAGCAGCAGCAGCAGCAGCAGCGAGCGCUGGCGGUGCUGUGGGGAGGGUCCGUGUCCCGAUUCGGCCGGACUUUGGCCACUGUCCCUUCAGAACCACCGCUCCGAAAUUAUUCUCAUACGUGCUGCCUUUGUUUGUCCAGGAAACCGUGAGAUCACGCAACGGUGAACAUCGCAUAAACAAUCGGGAAAAACCGAAGCGUUGCUACGAACUUUACAUUUCCCUCGAAUUAGUGUGAAACAAAGCGGUGAUUAAAAGUUGGAAUUGGUCAUUAGGUGCGUCAAUCUCCGCGUCUUCGCCCUCAAACCGAUGUCGGUCGCCUGUCGUCCAGCGCUCUCUCUGAUUGGUUAGUCGCAGCUCUCAGGGACCCUCUAUUGGUCCACCGCCCGUCCGUCAUAGCAUCGUGGGCGGGACUUUGAGGCCUCGGCUCCCGAGAGGCGAGAAAAAGCUAAAGCUGCACUUUUCCAGUGUUCUGUUGCAGAAGCUACCGCUGAGUCUCGCGCACUCACGCUGUCGCGCACUCGCUCGCAGUUCGUAGCGUCUCGCCGGCGGAAUCCCGGAAAAGAGCGGUGUCCGCGGGGAGGGGGGAGGAAAGGCAGCACUCGGCGCGCGAGGACACACUGACUGCACGGCACAGCGUCGCGAGCCCUCACCUGGAUAAACUCGUGCGCCCGCGUGCGGGGAGAAAAGAAGGGGCGGACGGAAAGAAGAAGCAAGUCGAGCAUCUCUCCGCGCCGGUUCGGGUGAAGGAAACGAGAAGAAUAUGAUCGUGAAAGGGCACCUGCUCUUUGCCCUCUACAGCAUCUGCGGGAUCGUUCUGAGAGGGCUGCCGCUCCCACAUUCCCGCACGGCCGUCGAGCCCCCGCCCCUCCCCGCCUCGGCCCGUGGUGUCGGUUGCCAAGCCGACGGUACCCUUGUGGACCGGACUGCAUUGAGGCGCCUCCGUCUCCGGUCCAUUCCCAAGAGAAGAAAAGUGCAGGGGAGCCAGAGAAAUGGAGCUGAAGCAAUGGCAAUGACCGUCCACCCCCCACCCCCACUCCCCAUCCACAAGAGAACAGAGUUGACAUGGCUGGAAAGUGCAGAGAUGCGCUCACGGCAGCAGCUGGCCGAUAUUCUUAAGGUUUAAUUAGCUGAAUAAUGACAUGAUUAUUGCUGACCAGAAGAAUACCUUUCUCCUCCACUAACUUGUUUGAAAAUCUUCACUGGAGCUCUGAGUGACUCGAGUGUAAUAGUGUUAGGGUCACCCUUUUCACCGGUUACAUGUUAGUGUCGGCGCUAAAGGCAUCGGGAGAGACGGACAACGAAAUGCAGCGCAGUCGGACUACGCAGUCUUUUCAGGUGAUCUCAGCCAGCGAGGGCCUCGCUCCACUUCUCAGUAAAACCACACGGAGACCGACAUCGGGAUGGAUCGCACUCGGUUUCGUGCAGUGUGUAGGCUGGCAGCUCCAGUGCCCCGUCUCCUCACCACUGCUGUUCACGCCAAACGGAUGACUCACCCGGAGACGUGAUGGAGAGUCCCGGGCCGCAAGCGUACCUGGAGUCACGCGUCCAACCAUAGGAUCUUGGAAAUGGCUGCCCUUUGAGAACUGCUGAGAGAGUAGCUGUCUUCUAGACAGAUGCAAGGUGAGCCCUGUCACACUCGUAGUCGCAGUUGCACGUGCGGCGUGGCCUUCCUGGUUUUUCGCUUUGUCAGCAUGGAAUGGAAGUGGUUACGGAGUGGCGUUAAUAAACCCAGACAUGUAAACA